Fundulus heteroclitus (mummichog) is the source of this 648-nucleotide long non-coding RNA. RefSeq lists it as uncharacterized. The record is from RefSeq and is a predicted model, not a curated record. The transcript has 3 exons. Lineage: Eukaryota; Metazoa; Chordata; Actinopteri; Cyprinodontiformes; Fundulidae.
GCAUUGCUAGCUGGGGCCAUGGUAGUUCCAUUAUUAGCUGAUGCUGUGGUGGAUGCAUUGCCAGCUAGUGCCAUGGUAGUUCCAUUAUUAGCUGAUACUGUGGUGGAUGCAUUGCUAGAUGGUGCCAUGGUGGUUCCAUUAUUAGCUGAUGCUGCGGUGGAUGCAUUGCUAGAUGGUGCCAUGGUGGUUCCAUUAUUAGCUGAUGCUAAGGUGGAUGCAUUGUUAGCUUCAUCCACUGUGGUCAUAUUGCUAGCUGGUUCCAUGGUGGUUCCAUUACUAGCUGAUGCUGAAGUGGAUGCAUUGCCAGCUAGUGCCAUGGUGGUUCCAUUAUUAGCUGAUGCUGAGGUGGAUGCAUUGCUAGCUUGUGCCAUGGUGGUUCCAUUAUUAGCUGAUGCUGAAGUGGAUGCAUUGUUAGCUCCAUCCACAGUGGCCGCAUUGCUAGCUGGUGCCAUGGUGGUUCCAAUACUAGCUGGUGCUGCAGUAGUUUUGUUGUUUGCUGCCGCAGUCAUCUCAGUGUUAUUAUUCAUGCUGUUUCCUCCCACCGUUGUCAUGUUAGAAUUUGUCACAUUGGUUGUUGUCUGAGCGUGGGUAGUCAUAAAUCCCCAGGAUAGCACCACCAACAGAACACUGAUCAUCAGUUGUUUAUUC